UUUAAAAUGAGAGUUUGAUCCUGGCUCAGGAUGAACGCUGGCGGCGUGCCUAAUACAUGCAAGUCGAACGCUUUGUCUUUAAUUGAUAUGAAGAGCUUGCUCUGAUUUGAUUUUAUCUGACAAAG
This 125-nucleotide ribosomal RNA is filed under the name Weissella thailandensis. Its description in RNAcentral is "partial 16S ribosomal RNA". It matches the Rfam family "Bacterial small subunit ribosomal RNA", at positions 1 to 92 of the family's 1533-position model. The record is from RNAcentral. Lineage: Bacteria; Bacillati; Bacillota; Bacilli; Lactobacillales; Lactobacillaceae.